This 706-nucleotide long non-coding RNA is filed under the name Drosophila guanche. Lineage: Eukaryota; Metazoa; Arthropoda; Insecta; Diptera; Drosophilidae. The record is from RNAcentral.
AUGGGGGCGCUGCGAUAGGUUGUCAUUUCGAAGAGCGUCGGAGCGCCACCUUCACCUCUUCCUUCCACGUUGAGUGCCAAAACGCAUCGCUUGUGCGGUUGACUCCCACGGGAGGGCAUAAGGUAGGGCUUGUCCUAUUGCUGGAUGCACUACUCUGGAAAGAUACGUUUCUUUUUAUAUAUUGGAUCGGAAUCUAGAUUUCUUGGAGGUAAAAAUAGAUAAAAAAUGAUCCAUCCAUUCAACCUAUAUUUUCUACUGACUAAAAGCAGAAUUAUUGAAUUUCUCUCACUUACAGGGGCUGUGCAAUUCGCUGAGAUCUAACAUUUGUAACUGCUUGACAAACUUGGUCCUCCUCAUGGAUAUUCGAUACACUUGCAAAUGGCUUUUUGACAAACAAUGACAUGGACGGACUCACCUACGAUUGCGGCCACAGUUUCUUUGCUUUUUUUGUUUUGGUGGUUCUUGUUCUUGUAAUUCCCCCUUUUGUGAUCGCCUUUGCAAAUGAAUUGCUUAUUGACAGUUUGAUGGAAUGAUUCCCUCGUUGCCUCGAUUGUCGAUUGCGAGACUUUUGUUAUUCUUUAAUUAUGGACUUGCCACAGAGGGAAAGAAAAAACAAAGGAUUCAUGGGUAGAUAUUGAAAAGGAAUGAGGAUUUAUGCGAGUUUUUAUAUUAUGUAUUUUCCCAAUCAAAACUUGUUGUAAUUGAC